AUUUAGUUUUUUCACUGAUCAUGUCCAACGUUUAACCAUCCAUUUUAUAUGAAAAAAUUUUAUAAUUAAUACUUUUGUUGUUAUUAGAUGAUAAAAUAUAAAUAACAAUUUUUUUUCAAAUAGGAUAGAUGGUUAAAAGUUAGACACGGAUAUACGCAACUGUAUUUAAA
Molecule: microRNA precursor, 170 nt
Filed under: Oryza nivara
Lineage: Eukaryota; Viridiplantae; Streptophyta; Magnoliopsida; Poales; Poaceae
Description: MIR812 microRNA precursor family
Rfam family: MIR812 microRNA precursor family
Source: Rfam by way of RNAcentral